RNAcentral lists this ribosomal RNA (254 nucleotides) under uncultured bacterium. RNAcentral describes it as "partial 16S ribosomal RNA". It matches the Rfam family "Bacterial small subunit ribosomal RNA", at positions 524 to 776 of the family's 1533-position model. The record is from RNAcentral.
UACGUAGGGGGCUAGCGUUGUCCGGAAUCAUUGGGCGUAAAGAGCGUGUAGGCUGCUCGGUAAGUCGGAUGUGAAACCUCCAGGCUCAACCUGGAGACGCCAUCUGAUACUGCCGUGGCUUGAGUCCGGUAGAGGAGCAGGGAAUUCCUGGUGUAGCGGUGAAAUGCGCAGAUAUCAGGAGGAACACCAGCGGCGAAGGCGCUGCUCUGGGCCGGUAUUGACGCUGAGGAGCGAAAGCGUGGGGAGCGAACAGG